UACGUAGGGGGCAAGCGUUAUCCGGAUUUACUGGGUGUAAAGGGAGCGUAGACGGCCAGACAAGUCUGAAGUGAAAAUCCAGCGCUUAACGUUGGAAGUGCUUUGGAAACUGCCGGGCUGGAGUGCAGGAGGGGCAGGCGGAAUUCCUAGUGUAGCGGUGAAAUGCGUAGAUAAUAGGAGGAACACCAGUGGCGAGGGCGGCCUGCUGGACUGCAACUGACGUUGAGGCUCGAAGGCGUGGGGAGCAAACAGG
This 253-nucleotide ribosomal RNA is filed under the name uncultured bacterium. Its description in RNAcentral is "partial 16S ribosomal RNA". It matches the Rfam family "Bacterial small subunit ribosomal RNA", at positions 524 to 776 of the family's 1533-position model. The record is from RNAcentral.